GGGCGUGUGGUCUAGUGGUAUGAUUCUCGCUUUGGGUUGAGAUUUAGUUUACUGCAUCAAAAUCAAAUAUGCGAGAGGCCCUGGGUUCAAUUCCCAGCUCGCCCC
This is a transfer RNA of 105 nucleotides. It matches the Rfam family "tRNA". Rfam says of the family: Transfer RNA (tRNA) molecules are approximately 80 nucleotides in length. Their secondary structure includes four short double-helical elements and three loops (D, anti-codon, and T loops). The record is from Rfam.